Long non-coding RNA from Gallus gallus (chicken), 4361 nucleotides. The record is from Ensembl. NCBI's taxonomy places the organism in Eukaryota, Metazoa, Chordata, Aves, Galliformes, Phasianidae.
GAUUUACAUAUAACACAAAGAAAUGCCAGAGAGAUUUUUGUAUCAAAUGUGUGAAUACAGUUUUUCACUUGUUUUUUUUAUUAUUAUUAUUAGCUAUUGAAGCAGGCUGUUUUUCAGUGGUUGGAGUUUUUGGGUUUUUUUUAUGUACUAGUUUCUAGUCCAAAGGAGGCAAAACUUUUGAGCUGCAGUUGCAGCAAUGUUUCUGAGGCUAGACCUUGAUGGUUUCCCACUUUGUGCAGUCCUUUGGUAGUGCAAACCCCAAAUAAAUGACAACCUGUGCAAUAUUUUUGGAAAAGAAAAUUGUAUUCUUUCAUCAAAGCAUUCAGAUUUCGGGUAGGAGAUUUUAAAUGUUAAUAUGAGUUUCUGUAGGUAUGUUAUGCAAAGGGGUUGGUUAAAUGCUAGAGAAAGCCCUAUCUAGUGUUUUGCAGUUAAAAAUAACAUGAGCCAUACAUGAGAAAUAAGUUGUGGGAAUUUACUAUGACAAAGGAAUUCUCCAGUGCUCCUUGGAGCAUUUUAAUUUUGCUUAUUCUGUGAACAAAGUCCCUUACAGAAAGCUGGCGAAAUGGCUAUGGGUCACCAAUGCCUGCAACCUCGUGCUGGCUCUCAGAGUAAAUGCCUGUCACAUUCAGAGUGUGGGUGGUUCCCAGGCAGCUGUGAUCAAAGAAUGCAUUUUUCACCAAUGCAGGUAUAGUUAGUCAUCAGUUUUUACCCUGAUAUCAUGUGUGAACAUCUCUACAUCAUCAAGUUAUAGUCUCAGAUCACAGUAGAAUUUGCACAGAACGUUUUGACUGGUGGUUUGGGGGCUUAUACUCCCAAUGUUCUACUGUCAGAAGUUCUGAACAUUCUGUAUGAAUGAGGAAGGAAGAUAAGUCUAUAAUGUUUCAGAUAGGUACUUCUAAAAGUAUCAUCUGGGAUCUAAUCAAGUUCCAUUCCCAAAUCCUCUUUCAUGCUUUCCAUUCUGGACUUUAAGAUCAUCUGUUUUCUUUAGAAAGGUCUCCUUGAGUCCUGUCUGCCAUUUUAGAUACAGUCUGGCCCGUCAUUCCUUCCAUCUAUCCAUCCAUCCUUCUGUUCCUACCAAACUGAGCACUGGUUUGUGGUACAGUCCAUGAGGGUUGUCCAACCCAUGCUCCAGCCUGGGCACCUCCAAAUCCAGUACUGCAUCCAUGCUGAGCCAUGAACUGAGUAGGUGUGGGGGGUGGCUGUCAGUUUAGGUACUUGACAGCCUGGGACUUGGGAUUUUAGAGAGUUUUGUCCAUUUUCAAAAUGAACCUGGUUAUAAAUGAGCCAAAUGGCUGGGACCCAGAGAAAGCACUGGGUGCUCGAUCAGCCAUUGCCCUAGUGGGAUGCACUCAAUGGUCCACGUGUGGGAGAGGCAGUACAGGUGUGCUCCAGCUCAUGCUGAAGAGAAACCAUCUAAGAGAAACAGUGCUCAGUAGGUUGGAAUGGCAGCAAUGAGUUUGUGGGCUUUCUUUCUCAGAAAACAGAGGCUUUUGCCUGCUGGAAAAUCUAUGAUUCAUAAAAGAUUUAGUAGUUUCAAUUGCUUUUUCAAGCACUGUUAUAGUUGAGAAGUUCCUGCGUCACUGUUGAAAGCAGAAAAAGUUCAAUAUAUGCAUGAACAAAAGAAUCUCAAGCAUCCCUCUGCCAUAUGGGCAGAUGAAAUCAGCUGCCUGCAUCUCCUAUCUGCUGCAGCUGACAGGCAGUGUGAGGCUCAGACCCAGAUAUUGGUCUGAGAACGUGGGUGUUCCUCAGCUCAGCACUGCUGUAAUUAGUCCUUGAGUUGUGGCAUACAGGGAGAGAAUCAAGAGUGGCCAUUCAUGGGAAAGAGAAAAGAGAAAUGUAAUACAAUAUGAAAAAAAACUUUGUGCAACACACUAACUUUCCCUUUUCUUUCAAAAUCAAAUGUAGCCCCAUUGGAGUGAAGUAAGCCUAGGUUUUCUGGGGUUUUAAUCAGUUUGAUGUUGCAGCAUUAGUCAAAAUGGUGGCAGCAUUAAAGGGAACUGUUCCCAGUAAUUAGGGAGGAUAAAUCUUUUUUUAUUAUUAUUAUUUUUUAAGUAGCUCAACAAAUAAACCAUCCUUUGACAUCUGAAUGGCUUUUAUUUAUUUUACUAUUUUCUAAUGUUAGUAGGAGUUAAAGCCUGGAAAUCUGAAAGGAAGGAGGAAAUGUGUCUGAUGCGUUCUCAGUGUCAGGCCUCCUGAGGAAAAUGCACCUGUUAAGUGUUACCACUUAACAGUGUUGGGGGAAUAACUGAAAUCGAGGUGACAGCUAUCUUAAGCAAUCAUUGGAAGAGAUAGCAAAAAUAUUGAUUAUUAAAGGCAAACCUGGAAUUAGAGCAAAAUAGCACCAGUGCACUUGAGAACAACUGAAUAUGAUAAAUCUUUCUUUGAAUUUCAUCGCUUUCAUUCAGCAAAACAACAUUCCUCUGGAGGUAAAUCAAAGCAGGGCUUUAGCCCAUGCUGUGGUGGUUAUUGAAUCCCAGCGUCAGAGGCAGCAGUGCGAGAGUUAGCCUCCAUUUACUUCCCAAUUAUGAUUUAUUCAGAGGCUUUUAGUGUGAUUUGCCUGGCAGGCAGGUGAUUUUUGAUGAAAAACACAUCACGCCUCCUCAGCAGGGUGCACGUGUCACCCGCAUGAAGCCCUGCCUUAAGCCUUGGGGUUAUGGAAGCCCCUCAGAGCUGGCAGGCAGCAGAGUGCUGGCGUUUUUCUGGAGAACCCUUUCCCACAGUGACAACAGGGCAAAAGCUUGAGCCAGUUCACAGUACUUCUUUGAUAAAUCUGAACCAACAGUAAGCACUUUGCAGCUUGAAAGCCUGCCAGCAGCACGUGAGGUGUGUGCAGCAAGUCCUGAGUGUUUGCACAUGUGAAAGGAUCCUUUCAUCAAGGUGAUGGGGUUGGGUGUAACCAGUGGGCUGUGUUGGCGGGCUGUUGAGCUGAAGUAUGAAGUAAGCCAAGGAGGGUUUUAGUUUUUCGGUUUUCUGUCAUCUAAGAAAGCUUUUCUGAGUGCUAGGGGAGGAAAACAAUUAUAGCAUUUAUUUCAAUUGAGAUUUUCAGGUGGCUAGAGCGUGCAAGUCCAGUACGUCAACUGGACAAGAGGUGAGACCUAUGCUGGUUAUGGUGGUGUGUGAGAUCUGGGCGCUGAGGAGCAUGCUGGAAUUUACAGGCAUGGGAAGUGGUGUUCCCAGCAGUGAACUGGGUGGGAAAGUGCAAGUGGUUCUGCUUUCCAGCUGUGUGGAAGCAUAGAGCAGAGGAAAAAGACUUUGUCACAGCCAUGAGCUGUGAAUCCUUUAUGACUGAAAUCUCCAGUGCUGGCUGAAGAGCUACAGAAAUCCGCUCAAACAAGCAAGGGGCAGCAUGAGUCAUGCCAGCAACGCAGGUGUGAGGCUGCCGCCUCAUCCUCUGGCUCACAGAGGGUGAGCAGCACGGUAUGAGGCAUGGAGAGGAGCAAAUGUUGGGUGUCAGCAGGCUGUUGUCAGAGCAGCUGGAGAAAUGCCUGUGGUGAUGCAAUCCCACCCCUUGCCCACCUGGCCAUGGCUGGCUCAGCACCAUGGGCUUAGAGGCUUUGCUUUCCAACACUGUCUUCCUUCACCACAGCAAAUACUUAGAAAGAGACCAUGCUCAUUGCUUUAAAAUAUUUAUUUAAAAGAGAUCUGUUUUUUUUUUUUUUUUUCCAUUGAUCCCAGUAAUUUUUCCCCCGUGCUUUUAUACAAAGAAAAAUAGUUCUGUGACGUGAACAGAGAGAAAAGAGUUAGGGAUCACCAUGCCUGUCCGUACUUCUGUAGGUAGAAGCAUGUUGUCUGUUCAAGCUGCCUUUCCCUUCUGAAGUUCCUUCCUGAUUCUGACACGCGAUGAUUCAAAGCUGUGUUUGAAUGCAAAGUUUUCACUUUAUGUCUUUAUAAACCCAAAUUAAGUACUGGAGAUGGUAUCAAAAAGAUCAAAGGCGGCACUGAGAGCUGCUCUGUGGCAUUGGUGGUGUUUUUAAUAUUUCAGCGUAUGUUUGGUCGUUACUUUUCUAAAUUUAAGUGCACUUUUCUUGAGUAAUGGAUGUAAGAUGUCUGCAUGACGGAAAGUAAUUUAAGUUCACUUUUUUAAAAGAUGUGAUUCGUGCUGUAGGCUACGUUUGUUCAACAGAUAACAUUUUCACGGAGGGGUGGCAGUUUACUUUUUGUUAGUGCUUUCAAUAGAACGUCGAAGGCAUUUUCCAGCGGAAUCACAUUCUGAAACCUUUGCCUCAGCAACUCCAGCAGAAGGGGGACCUUUCAAAAAUAACGGCUUUCCAACACAGUUUUUCCAUCUGGGUAAAAAUGUGCGAGUUUGUACAUCACAUACAAGCUAUACUUCCAAAAAAAAAAAAAAAAAAAAAAAAAAA